This 253-nucleotide ribosomal RNA is filed under the name uncultured bacterium. RNAcentral describes it as "partial 16S ribosomal RNA". It matches the Rfam family "Bacterial small subunit ribosomal RNA", at positions 524 to 776 of the family's 1533-position model. The record is from RNAcentral.
CACGUAGGGUGCGAGCGUUGUCCGGAAUUAUUGGGCGUAAAGAGCUCGUAGGCGGUUUGUCGCGUCGACUGUGAAAACCCGAGGCUUAACCUCGGGCCUGCAGUCGAUACGGGCAGACUAGAGUUCGGUAGGGGAGACUGGAAUUCCUGGUGUAGCGGUGAAAUGCGCAGAUAUCAGGAGGAACACCGGUGGCGAAGGCGGGUCUCUGGGCCGAUACUGACGCUGAGGAGCGAAAGCGUGGGGAGCGAACAGG